CGUACCUUUUGUAUAAUGGGUCAGCGACUUAGUGUUGCGUGCAAGCUUAAGCCGAUAGGUGUAGGCACAGCGAAAGCGAGUCUUAAUAGGGCGAAUGAGUACGUAGCAUUAGACCCGAAGGCAAGUGAUCUAGAUAUGGGCAGGCUGAAGGUGCAGUAACAUGCACUGGAGGGCCGAACCGUUGAGCGUUGAAAAGCUCUCGGAUGACCUGUGUCUAGGGGUGAAAGGCCAAUCAAACUCGGUGAUAGCUGGUUCUCCCCGAAAUGCAUUUAGGUGCAGCGUUGCGUGGUUCUUGUUGGAGGUAGAGCACUGGAUGGUCUAGGGGGCUUAUCGGCUUACCGAAAUCAGCCAAACUCCGAAUGCUGGCAAGUGUAGCGUGGCAGUGAGACGGCGGGGGAUAAGCUUCGUCGUCGAGAGGGAAACAGCCCAGAUCGCCGGUUAAGGCCCCUAAGGGUGUACUAAGUGGAAAAGGAUGUGGGAUCGCGAAGACAGCCAGGAGGUUGGCUUAGAAGCAGCCAUCCUUGAAAGAGUGCGUAAUAGCUCACUGGUCGAGUGACACUGCGCCGAAAAUGUACCGGGGCUAAACAUAUUACCGAAGCUGUGGAUCCGUAAGGAUGGUAGGAGAGCGUUCUAAGUGCACUGAAGCAUGAUCGUGAGGACAUGUGGAGCGCUUAGAAGUGAGAACGCCG
Molecule: ribosomal RNA, 689 nt
Filed under: Ditylum brightwellii
Lineage: Eukaryota; Bacillariophyta; Thalassiosirophyceae; Lithodesmiales; Lithodesmiaceae
Description: partial Bacterial large subunit ribosomal RNA
Rfam family: Bacterial large subunit ribosomal RNA
Source: RNAcentral